This is a long non-coding RNA of Parambassis ranga (Indian glassy fish), 1973 nucleotides long. Ensembl lists it as uncharacterized. The record is from Ensembl. NCBI's taxonomy places the organism in Eukaryota, Metazoa, Chordata, Actinopteri, Ambassidae.
UUGUUGCUGUAAAGGGUAGAAAGACGAAGAAGACCAGAGGAAUGUGUCUUGACAUGGGCAUGGCUGACUCGCGCGCGUCUUGAAUGGAACUUAGCACGCAGAGAACCACGAGCUCACAGAGGCACGAGCCAAUGUGUAAACAAUACUGUAUCUGAUGGCACAGAUAGGUUGGAUCCAGACAUUUAUUCAUUGUACGUAGGAGUGGAAUAUCACAGGUCGUUUAAAUAUUGUCUGAAGUGGAAAAGUUCCAUGUAUCCUAAACAUUCCUCAAGACUACAAAAGGCCUCCAAGAAAAGCCCCCAGAGUAGUCCCACACAAAAUGAAGAAGUUAUUCAGCGCAGGCUCAGAAGUCGGAGACGGAGGACAGACCUGAAGAAGGCUGAACCUGGUGAAACCACAGUGGCAGAUGAGGGGAAGGUUCGGGACAUCCUCGACGUCAUUAACAGCUCUCAUGAUGUAGAGUGUGUUUCUGAGGACGAAGAAAAAAUCACAGAAAUAACGGAUAAAAGACUGGACGAUUCUGAUGAAGAGUGUCACUCUGUUUGUGACAGCACUGCUUCUGGUCCCUCCCUUGCAUAUCGACAAACCCUCAAGAAACCUUCCCAAAACCUGUGCUCAUCCUGUCGGAAGCUCUAUCAGAGGGCAAAGAGAAUAAAGAAACCAAUCAAAAGCAAACUCCUUGACAAUGAUCCCAUGUCCAUGACAUGUGACCAGUGGGUCCUCAUCAAAAAGUGGGCACCCAGUAGAGUACCUAUUACAAGACGGAGGCCUUUGAGCCACAUACAACUACUAAAGAAGAUCAGUGUGAAGCAAAGAGAGCAAUACGCGAGUGAGGAAGGAUUAUCAACCUGCUCAAGACCACACACUUUCCUUCAGAGGAACCUUAGAUGCUGUUUGAAACUGCAAGAAAAAAAGGAGAAGAAAAAGAGCAACAGGAGGAAGAGAAGGAGAGAUGAUUCACAGGACCCCCGCGAUCGUAAGCAGCAGCGUCGCCACAGCAACAAUGGCACACAGCACAUCCGUAUUAGCUGCUUGGAUGAUGACCUAAACAGCAGUGGUCCCAAUACUGAGGACUGCAUCAAUCAAGAAACCGACGAUCCAAUGGACACAGAUCUAACCAUUGAGUUGAUUCCCACCAGAGUAACUAUGACAACAGCCAAACCAGCAGAGCUUCAAUCCAAGCAGAAAACACCAAGAAAGACGCGCGGUUUCAAAGAUUUGCUAUCGCAGCUGCGGGGCAACACCAGUGUUAUCAUCAGAGAAAAUCGUUAGCUCAGUGAUUUCAAUGAUUUUAUUUACAGCUACAAUUUAAAGAUUCAAGGACUGAUGUAGCUUUUAUUUAUAAUGUGCCUGUUGUGUUCCAUGCAUGUUGGUUUUUCUUAAGUUUGAAAGAAGGAUUGAUUUAAGAUUUCAUACAACAGCAUUAAUUAUUAAACAUGUUUGCUCAUUAUUCACAUUGGUUGCAACUAAAACUUUUUGUGUGUGUACAGUAGCGAUGUGCAGAUCUGAGGUCUGAAACUACACUCAAACACAGCCAGAGGGAAUUAUUUCCUCCAGUUUUAAAAGGCGCAAGUUAUUAGUGACCUGAUUGCACAGUCAACUGUUAGACUGGCUGUAUUGUUGAUAAAGUUGUUAUGUAUAAACCUAUUUAUUUAGAAAUAAGCAAAGUCACAGUCCUUAAAGACAUUCCUGGUUCUUACCUCUACCAGUCUUGUUCUGCAGUGUUUGACUCUCUUUGAACCUCUUUAUAGCACCUCUCAUGCCAGUUCUUGAAACUUGAAAGAACUUUGAUAAACUUCUAUUGUUCUGUUGCUUUGUAGGCAUUAAUCCCUUUUCUCAAGUUUAUUUGCAAUAUUAAACAGCAGAAAAUAUUUGGAGUCUUGUGGUGUGUGUUUGUACACAUCUGUCAUAGCACUGCACUGUGCAGUGUACCAGCUGGAAAAUACCAGGUUAAUUAACACUGUCCUUCACAG